RNAcentral lists this long non-coding RNA (438 nucleotides) under Helianthus annuus (common sunflower). Lineage: Eukaryota; Viridiplantae; Streptophyta; Magnoliopsida; Asterales; Asteraceae. The record is from RNAcentral.
UUCUUUACAAUAUGGAAUCCGGACAACAUGCUCACGAAAUCCCCACUUAGUCCGACCACAUUAAGCUCCAAUCCAUCAAGCUUGAAGCCUCCUAUGAACUGAUGUAGUUCAGUAAAAGUAUGCAUGCAUUAUUUGGUUCUUGUUAACGAGGAUGAUGGGAUAUUUCAAGAUGGUUUGGAAAAUGUUGAGAAUGAAGAGGAUAUUGUGAGAUUUUAAGACAAAAUAAAUGAAGAACUACAACCUUCAAUCAGGAGCCUUGAAGUUGAAAAACACAUAGUUGCUUGAAAUGUGAAAAGAAAAUGAAGACUACCAGCAAAGGAAAAAAUUUGAGCUAGAAGCUACGCGGAAAGAUUUUCACAGCCAACAUGCAAACUCUGAAGCUACGAUACGACGUAUUGUGAAAAAACUACUAUUAGAGUACUUUGGAAUCUUAGAGAU